UGGGGAAUAUUGCACAAUGGGGGAAACCCUGAUGCAGCGACGCCGCGUGAGCGAAGAAGGUUUUCGAAUCGUAAAGCUCUGUCCUAUGAGAAGAUAAUGACGGUAUCAUAGGAGGAAGCCCCGGCUAAAUACGUGCCAGCAGCCGCGGUAAUACGUAUGGGGCGAGCGUUGUCCGGAAUUAUUGGGCGUAAAGGGUACGUAGGCGGUCUAUUAAGUCAGGUGUGAAAGCGUGAGACUUAACCUCAUUAAGCACUUGAAACUGAUAGACUUGAGUGAAGGAGAGGAAAGUGGAAUUCCUAGUGUAGCGGUGAAAUGCGUAGAUAUUAGGAGGAAUACCGGUGGCGAAGGCGACUUUCUGGACUUUUACUGACGCUCAGGUACGAAAGCGUGGGGAGCAAACAGG
This 403-nucleotide ribosomal RNA is filed under the name Verrucomicrobiota bacterium. RNAcentral's name for it is "Verrucomicrobia bacterium partial 16S ribosomal RNA". It matches the Rfam family "Bacterial small subunit ribosomal RNA", at positions 355 to 776 of the family's 1533-position model. Lineage: Bacteria; Pseudomonadati; Verrucomicrobiota. The record is from RNAcentral.